Molecule: long non-coding RNA, 564 nt
Filed under: Homo sapiens (human)
Lineage: Eukaryota; Metazoa; Chordata; Mammalia; Primates; Hominidae
Description: HSALNT0354718
Source: RNAcentral
UUGGAACAUCAUCAUAGGCAGUCAUUGUGACAGCCCUGGGUGGGAGGGACUGCUUUUUUCAUAUGAAGGACUGGGGCACAGAGUGACCCGCCCAAGAUCACACAGCUUCAGAUGGAGGCCCGUAGGCUACAGAGCCCAGCUCCCUGCCGCUGCGUGGAGAAGAACCUUUCCCAGCUGUGGCCAGAGAGAGAUGUGACACCAGGGAAAGGAUCAGAGAGUGGCUGAAGACAGAGGGAGGGGCCAAGAGUCAAGGAACAUAAGUGACUUCGGGAAGAUGGAAAAUGCAGGAAACAGAAUCUCCCCUAAAGGCCCCAGAAAAACAGCAUAGUCCUGCCUACUCCUUGAUUUUAACCCAGUGAGACCCAUGUCAGACUUCUGCCUAUGGAACUGUAAGAUGAUAAUAAAUGUGUGUUGUUUUAAGCCACAAGGUUUGUGCUGAUUUGUUAUGACAGCGGUAGCAAAUGAAUCUCGUGCCUCAGUCAGUACAAGUUUGAUCAUAUAAAUUUAGAGAUGAUAUGUAUAUGCUUGUAGUGUGUAAUUUCCUAAUGACAGGGGCCACUGAAU